This 499-nucleotide ribosomal RNA is filed under the name uncultured bacterium. Its description in RNAcentral is "partial 16S ribosomal RNA". It matches the Rfam family "Bacterial small subunit ribosomal RNA", at positions 28 to 507 of the family's 1533-position model. The record is from RNAcentral.
GACGAACGCUGGCGGCGUGCCUAAUACAUGCAAGUCGAGCGAAGUUUUUCUGGUUCUUGCACUAGAAAAACUUAGCGGCGCACGGGUGAGUCACACGUAAAGAACCUGCCUCAUAGACUGGGACAACUAUUGGAAACGAUAGCUAAUACCGGAUAACAGUAUUUCUCGCAUGAGAGAUAUUUAAAAGUUGGUUAUGCUAACACUAUGAGAUGGCUUUGCGGUGCAUUAGCUAGUUGGUGGGGUAAAGGCCCACCAAGGCGACGAUGCAUAGCCGACCUGAGAGGGUGAUAGGCCACACUGGGACUGAGACACGGCCCAGACUCCUACGGGAGGCAGCAGUAGGGAAUCUUACGCAAUGGGCGAAAGCCUGACGGAGCAACGCCGCGUGAGUGAAGAAGGAUUUCGGUUCGUAAAGCUCUGUUGUUAGGGAAGAAUGGAUAUGUAGUAACUAUACAUGUAAGAGACGGUACCUAACAAGAAAGCCACGGCUAACUACGUG